This 672-nucleotide ribosomal RNA is filed under the name Salmonella enterica subsp. enterica serovar Give. RNAcentral's name for it is "partial 23S ribosomal RNA". It matches the Rfam family "Bacterial large subunit ribosomal RNA", at positions 2211 to 2877 of the family's 2925-position model. Lineage: Bacteria; Pseudomonadati; Pseudomonadota; Gammaproteobacteria; Enterobacterales; Enterobacteriaceae. The record is from RNAcentral.
UGUUUGAUGUUCUAACGUGGACCCGUGAUCCGGGUUGCGGACAGUGUCUGGUGGGUAGUUUGACUGGGGCGGUCUCCUCCUAAAGAGUAACGGAGGAGCACGAAGGUUGGCUAAUCCUGGUCGGACAUCAGGAGGUUAGUGCAAUGGCAUAAGCCAGCUUGACUGCGAGCGUGACGGCGCGAGCAGGUGCGAAAGCAGGUCAUAGUGAUCCGGUGGUUCUGAAUGGAAGGGCCAUCGCUCAACGGAUAAAAGGUACUCCGGGGAUAACAGGCUGAUACCGCCCAAGAGUUCAUAUCGACGGCGGUGUUUGGCACCUCGAUGUCGGCUCAUCACAUCCUGGGGCUGAAGUAGGUCCCAAGGGUAUGGCUGUUCGCCAUUUAAAGUGGUACGCGAGCUGGGUUUAGAACGUCGUGAGACAGUUCGGUCCCUAUCUGCCGUGGGCGCUGGAGAACUGAGGGGGGCUGCUCCUAGUACGAGAGGACCGGAGUGGACGCAUCACUGGUGUUCGGGUUGUCAUGCCAAUGGCACUGCCCGGUAGCUAAAUGCGGAAGAGAUAAGUGCUGAAAGCAUCUAAGCACGAAACUUGCCCCGAGAUGAGUUCUCCCUGAGACUUAAAGUCUCCUGAAGGAACGUUGAAGACGACGACGUUGAUAGGCCGGGUGUGUAAGCGCA